RNAcentral lists this transfer RNA (75 nucleotides) under Methyloceanibacter sp. Its description in RNAcentral is "tRNA-OTHER". It matches the Rfam family "tRNA". Rfam says of the family: Transfer RNA (tRNA) molecules are approximately 80 nucleotides in length. Their secondary structure includes four short double-helical elements and three loops (D, anti-codon, and T loops). Further hydrogen bonds mediate the characteristic L-shaped molecular structure. tRNAs have two regions of fundamental functional importance: the anti-codon, which is responsible for specific mRNA codon recognition, and the 3' end, to which the tRNAs corresponding amino acid is attached (by aminoacyl-tRNA synthetases). tRNAs cope with the degeneracy of the genetic code in two manners: having more than one tRNA (with a specific anti-codon) for a particular amino acid; and 'wobble' base-pairing, i.e. permitting non-standard base-pairing at the 3rd anti-codon position. RNAcentral also lists the same sequence under 1 other name. Lineage: Bacteria; Pseudomonadati; Pseudomonadota; Alphaproteobacteria; Hyphomicrobiales; Hyphomicrobiaceae. The record is from RNAcentral.
GGAAGGGUGGCCGAGUGGCGAGGCACCGACUCUGCACAGCCGGAAACGGAGGUUCGAGUCCUCCCCCUUCCUCCA